CAUUUACAGGCCUGAGAGUCAAUUCCCCCAGUGGCCCCUGUAUGGGAUGGCCUGUGCUCCAGAGCCUGUUGCCCGGUGACCGGCAGAGGGCAGGAGAGACACACAGAUGCCAAACUGCGCAGCCGACUAGCUGAGCUUCCCCACUGGGGAAACUGGGUCACUCAGUCCUGCCAAGCGGGAAACAGUCCAAGGAGGGCACCCUUCCCCGGGGAUAACAGUGAAAGCAGAGGCCUUUUGAGCAAAGCCAUGAGGAGGGGAUGCCCACUGUGCGGUUGGGUACAGUCUAACCAGAUACUUGGGCUUGGGACCUGAUGUCCUUUGAGUUCCCCCUGGAUCUUGAUGCCUCCACUUCCACUCAACAACUCCACUCCAGGACUUCCUGGUGACUUGUGCAGAGGGAAAAUCAUGGCCUUGCAGAGCAGGCAGAGCCCACUGGAGUCCUGGUGGAGGCCUCUCAGUAGCCAGAUGACCUUGAGCGAAUUUUAGAACCCUCUAAGCUUGGGAUCUCUCAUCUGUUAAGAUGAUGACAAGCAACCAUGCCAAAUAAAACUUGUAGCUUGGUUCUGAGAAUUGAAUGAGUUAAUUCACGUGAAGCCACCUAAGUCUACGAAGACACUCGAUAAAUUCUGUUCUUCAUGGGGUAGCAGUGGGGGGACUUUGUGGCAAGAAGAAAAAUUGUGGGAAUGAUAAUCAUUGAAUACUUAAAACAUAUGAGUUACUAUGCUCAAUUCUUUAUUUGUACUAUAUUAUCUCAAUUAAGCCUUCUGACACUCCUAUGAGGCAGGUAGUAUGUAUCUCCCCAUUUUUCAGAUAAAGAAACUGAGGCUUCAAGAUGUUAGGUUACUUGCCUAAGGCCAAAAUGAUCGAGAAUCUGACCCAGAGCCCAAGAGCUAAACAUCUAAGAGGCUCUGCAACAAUUCCCACUUUCCCGCCGUGCCUGGAGGAUCCUUCCUGGAAAUAUGCUUUCAUUCUGUCUUUAGGUUUUUGUUUAGAUAAGCAAGGCCCUCCUGAAGGGGCCUUCUUGUCCCUCACACUAAUAGUUAUUCCUUCUCCUAAGUGUUCAGAACACUGUGGCUAUGUUUAUCCCUUACACUUUCCACGUAUUAUUUGCAUUUACACAUCUGUCUCUGGUUCCAGGCAGAUGCUCUCUGAGGGCAUGGACAGAAUGUGGUGUAAUUUCUCUUUAUUUCCUCUCUAAGUAACUGUCACUCCUAUUGCUUUGCAUGCUGUGGGCUUUUGAUAAAUGUUUGUUGACUUGAGAUGUGUCAGGCAGAGUGAGUAGAAAGCAUGACAGACCUGGGUCAGAAUCCGUACUUCCACUGACUCUGUGACCUUGGGCAAGUCACUCAACCUCUCUGGGCCUCCUUCAGUUUCCUCAACUCUAAAGUGAGACAAUAGUAUCUACCAUCAUGGGGUGUUGUGAGGAUGAAAAGAAAAAAUGCAGGCAAAGCAUUUACACAGUAC
RNAcentral lists this long non-coding RNA (1464 nucleotides) under Equus caballus (horse). RNAcentral describes it as "lncRNA (ENSECAG00000047427.1)". Lineage: Eukaryota; Metazoa; Chordata; Mammalia; Perissodactyla; Equidae. The record is from RNAcentral.